Molecule: long non-coding RNA, 1490 nt
Organism: Nerophis ophidion (straightnose pipefish)
Lineage: Eukaryota; Metazoa; Chordata; Actinopteri; Syngnathiformes; Syngnathidae
Exons: 5
Source: RefSeq, a predicted model, not a curated record
AUAGAAAGAGGCAGUUGGAGCAUGAAGAGAGGCAAGCAGCAGCACCGCCGCCAUGAUGAGUCGAGGCACGUAUCCCCGCUCAAGCGUGUCUUUGUGGGGCUUGGAGGGAGCCAGCAGCUGCGGCGGCUAUUGAAUUCUGAUGCGGGCCGGCCUCUACAGUUCCUGAUCGUCAAAUGAAUCAUAGAUCCAACCGUGUGCACCCCAGAGGGAGAGCGGUGAGCCGGCGUAAAGUCCUGACCAAUCGUGAGCAACAGAGGGAGAUUCUCCGAUGCAGGAAGAUUUACCUGGAUAGAUCGCACGCUGCUUGCUCUACACCAGCUGUCUUAGCUUGGUUGAGCAACACUGGUUUCCACUUCCGGGAAGAAGUCACGUGCCGGAAUACAAGCAAUACAAAGGAAAGAUCAUGGCGAGGACCCAAUACCAAUCGAUGUCCAAUUAGCGAGGCGCCGCAGCCCACAGGGUGGAGGACCGGGGGCGAACAGGAGGUGCUGUUUAGGAAAGGAAGCAAGGAGAUGAGAGGGUGCAUGCAAGGUCUAUAAGUGGGCGGAGAUGACUUUGGGAAUACCAGAGUGGUGGCUGGAGGCCGGAGGGAGGCGGGAACAAGAUGGAUGCAACAGAGCGGGGGGAGGAAACGCAGAAGGGCAAACAGGGAGAGGCGGAGAUGAAUUGAGACAAGGGAGAUACAGUACCUUUUUAAAUGAGAAGGAUGAGUUUCAUGGACAAUGAAACGAAAAUAGUUGAUUAUGUCGGGGUUAAGUUAGACCAUCGCUCAUGGGGCUCCCCAUAUAACAACCUCCACCCUCCUUCCACUUAUCACAAGGGAUCGUAUCGUUUACAUUUUAACCGAUGCUAGUACCAAAUUGGUACUUUAAAAACAGCGAGGGUGUUCAAACAGUGCCCGAACCGGUAAGUGGGAAUUGCACUUUUUUAAAAAUAUUUUUGCUUAUUGUUCAAAAUCCUCAUGACAUACAAUAAGACCAAAGUUUCUUUUUUUUUUCCCCCCCGCUUUCUAACGUGUGAAAAUCACCCCAUUCGAGGUGGCUAGCUAUGCAGGUUACCAUGAAUUGAUUAACGUGGACCCCGACUUAAACAAGUUGAAAAACUUAUUCGGGUGUUACCAUUUAGUGGUCAACUGUACGGAAUAUGUACUCUACUGUGCAAACUACUAAUAAAAGUAUCAAUCAAUCAAUCAAUCAAAAGGUAGUGGGAACAAUCAAUUCUACCUUUAAAUCACUUAAAAAAUGCAUUCAAAAACCGCCAACAAUACUAAUUUACGUUUCGUAACCCGUGUAAUACCCAAGCUGUCGCAACAUAGUUAUUAUAAAAUAGAACUUUUUCUAGCAUAGUAAGACAUCCCCAUGCUACGGUAUUAGCCAUAGAAGCUAGCAACGGAAAGAGAUAAGCUCGCUUCUACGUCAGCACGAACCGCGUUUGAGUUUGUAAUGCACUCCACUGCAAAGGCAAAGCCCAGUAACUCAAUUUUGGUCAAA